This 496-nucleotide ribosomal RNA is filed under the name uncultured bacterium. Its description in RNAcentral is "partial 16S ribosomal RNA". It matches the Rfam family "Bacterial small subunit ribosomal RNA", at positions 29 to 507 of the family's 1533-position model. The record is from RNAcentral.
AUGAACGCUGGCGGCGUGCCUAAUACAUGCAAGUCGAGCGAACGGACGAGAAGCUUGCUUCUCUGAUGUUAGCGGCGGACGGGUGAGUAACACGUGGAUAACCUACCUAUAAGACUGGGAUAACUUCGGGAAACCGUAGCUAAUACCGGAUAAUAUUUUGAACCGCAUGGUUCAAAAGUGAAAGACGGUCUUGCUGUCACUUAUAGAUGGAUCCGCGCUGCAUUAGCUAGUUGGUAAGGUAACGGCUUACCAAGGCAACGAUGCAUAGCCGACCUGAGAGGGUGAUCGGCCACACUGGAACUGAGACACGGUCCAGACUCCUACGGGAGGCAGCAGUAGGGAAUCUUCCGCAAUGGGCGAAAGCCUGACGGAGCAACGCCGCGUGAGUGAUGAAGGUCUUCGGAUCGUAAAACUCUGUUAUUAGGGAAGAAUAUAUGUGUAAGCAACUGUGCACAUCUUGACGGUACCUAAUCAGAAAGCCACGGCUAACUACGUG